This 977-nucleotide long non-coding RNA is filed under the name Sus scrofa (pig). Its description in RNAcentral is "lncRNA (ENSSSCG00005033265.1)". The record is from RNAcentral. Lineage: Eukaryota; Metazoa; Chordata; Mammalia; Artiodactyla; Suidae.
CUGAGUUUGUUCAUUUGUGAUGCGAGCGCUUUAAGGACUAGCGAGAUGCCCACUGUUCCCGGAGAAGUCGUUGUGAGGGGCAGGCAAACGGAGUCUUACCAUGUGGCAGUUGUACUUGUGGGGUCUCUUGGAGCCUCUUCCGCAGGCGAGGUGUCAGGGCCCCUCAGGCGCUGCGUAGCCUGCUGAGCACUCCUGGUUUUGUUUACAGUUUAUACCAGACCUAGUUUCCGGAGACCGUGGAUGCCGGGAGGGGUCGUUGGGCUCUGGAUGGCCGACCCGUGUCUUUGGAACAAGCUAAUGUCAGAGGUCUGGACAGCAGAAUCUAGGAGCAAGUCACCCAGGUCUUUCAUGAUGCUGUACCAGUCUCCUUCUCUCCCAGCUCUAUUUCCAGGAUCCUUUAUGUAUUUCUAGGAGCAGCGGGAAAUGAAUACAUCUCUGGACUUUGCUUUACCAAACCUGAGGUGAUCGUCAAGUUGGAACAAGGAGCAGAGCCAUGGACUGUAAAAGAACCCCCAAACCAGAGUUUCCCAGGCUGUCCCUGCAGAACUUUUUAACUGAAGGAGCUGCCGUGCUCCCCCACCCGCUUCCUGGUGAGGUGGGAGCCAACACGCGGAGGAUCAGUGUCAAGACGAAAGAAAAGGUAAUGCCGUGUGGAGCCGUCCGGACCCUCGUCCGGGGAAAAACUCCCCCGAGGAGAACCACUACGGGGCAGCUGGGAAGGCAGAUGUGUGCGGGCUGUGGGACGAGUGACGGGACCGACGCGGGCCCACCGGUGUGGGGGCCCCGGGACCAGAUCGAAACCGUGUCCCCUGCCUCCUCUGAGCUACUUGAGCAAACGGGGUGGACAGACCAGGCCAACGGGAAGUGCGCGAAGGUCAGGCGAGGCCUGCGGGUGAGUCCCCCGGAGCGCUCCGGGUAGCGCCGCCCAGACCCUUCCAGCGGGGCGACAGUCGUUUUUCCUCACGACCGACCCCGCC